Molecule: ribosomal RNA, 460 nt
Filed under: uncultured bacterium
Lineage: Bacteria
Description: partial 16S ribosomal RNA
Rfam family: Bacterial small subunit ribosomal RNA
Source: RNAcentral
CCUACGGGGUGCAGCAGUGAGGAAUAUUGGUCAAUGGACGAGAGUCUGAACCAGCCAAGUAGCGUGAAGGAUGACUGCCCUAUGGGUUGUAAACUUCUUUUAUAUGGGAAUAAAAUGUUCCACGUGUGGGAUUUUGUAUGUACCAUAUGAAUAAGGAUCGGCUAACUCCGUGCCAGCAGCCGCGGUAAUACGGAGGCUCCGAGCGUUAGCCGGAUUUAUUGGGUUUAAAGGGAGCGUAGGUGGAUUGUUAAGGCAGUUGUGAAAGUUUGCGGCUCAACCGUAAAAUUGCAGUUGAAACUGGCAGUCUUGAGUACAGUAGAGGUGGGCGGAAUGCGUGGUGUAGCGGUGAAAUGCUUAGAUAUCACGAAGAACUCCGAUUGCGAAGGCAGUUCACUGGACUGCAACUGACACUGAGGCUCGAAAGUGUGGGUAUCAAACAGGAUUAGAUACCCUAGUAGUC